GCCUUGAUGCCCUCCGAUUCAAAAGCGUCAGUAUGGAGUAGAAUUCUUUAUUUGUUUAGAAUCUUCGAUCAAAAGGACUUGAAAUCACACACUUUCAGGAAGAGUGAACUGUGUGAGAUUCAGCUUAGACUUCCACCUAGUACGGGUGCUCCAAGUCCAUCGUCUUUUUAGUCCACAGAUUUUCCUGUAGAACAGAGGACUUCUUCGGCGGAAUAUGAUGAUCCGAGUUCCAAUGGGCAAGCACCUCCAAGAUAGUGCUAAAUAUUGAACUUGCCAACACAAAUCAAGAAAGACCAGUAACUAUUGAAAGAACCCGUGAAAACUGAUAGCUUAAUUAUGACC
RNAcentral lists this unclassified non-coding RNA (342 nucleotides) under Hevea brasiliensis (rubber tree). The record is from RNAcentral. Lineage: Eukaryota; Viridiplantae; Streptophyta; Magnoliopsida; Malpighiales; Euphorbiaceae.